RNAcentral lists this unclassified non-coding RNA (315 nucleotides) under uncultured Peniophorella. RNAcentral's name for it is "partial contains 5.8S ribosomal RNA, internal transcribed spacer 2, and large subunit ribosomal RNA". The record is from RNAcentral. Lineage: Eukaryota; Fungi; Basidiomycota; Agaricomycetes; Corticiales; Corticiaceae.
AACGCACCUUGCGCUCUUGGGUUAUUCCUGAGAGCAUGCUUGUUUGAGUGUCGCAAACUUCUCAACCCCGCCUAGCGAUAGGUAGACCAGGGCUUUGGAUCAUGGCCGGCUUGUCAGCUUACCCUGACUCGGCUGAAAUGGAAUAAGCUACUGCCAACAGUACCCUUGCGGCUCGAGCUAUCGUUGUAGAACUUUUCGAUAGCGACGCACGCGGUAACAAAAAGUACGCUUUCAAACAGCCCCACAAACCUGAUCUUCAGUUCAAGACCAGUGCAUUUUGACCUCAAAUCAAGUAGGACUACCCGCUGAACUUAA